This 459-nucleotide long non-coding RNA is filed under the name Numida meleagris (helmeted guineafowl). Its description in RNAcentral is "lncRNA (ENSNMEG00000016278.1)". Lineage: Eukaryota; Metazoa; Chordata; Aves; Galliformes; Numididae. The record is from RNAcentral.
AAGGUGUAAAAUCAUGAAGGAGCAAAGAAGCUUCCAAGAUAGUUUUCUGCAGGUCAUUCUGUGCAACUGAUUUCCUGAAUGUUGUUGGCAAGAAAACAAAGUAGAAGCGCUGUGUGAGUCAUGGCACAUCUGUAUUCAUGUUUCCCCACAGACUCGGAGCUGUGGAAGAAAAGAUCCCGUGCAGCAGCUUGGCAGGACGCUGCAAAGGAUGCACCUUGGAGCAGGCAGCAGAAAGAAGGGAGAAAACUCUUCUGAGCCUUUAUGGCUUAGAAGGAACGUACAAGGAUUCAAAUGCUGUCCCAUGGGGAGAAGGAAAGGAAACAAACUGCAGCUCCAGAUAAAACCAAAACAAAACAAAAAACGGAGAUCCUCACGAGUGCGGAGGGGGCAGUUUUGUGACAAAAGGCCUUGUGCUGAGCUUAGGUUGGUACCCAAUAAAUUAUAGAAAAGAAAACCAAA